CAAGCUUCUCCUCAAUGAAUUACAUAGUAAUUAUCUUCAUCUCCUUUACAUUCCCUAAGUAAUGGAUAUCCUCCUGCAUUCCUUGAGAGACAGUGGUGAAACAGAGCCCUCAGGAAGAGGAGAGGACCUGUUUCUCUUUAUUAUCUGGGAGAGCUCUUCUACAAGUUAACCACCAGUCUGACGGAGAUAUUCCCGUGGAACUGUGCCUUUUUGGAUUAUGUUCCAGACCCUCCAUGACCUUCCCUGCAUGUGUCCUGUUCCAGUGGCAGAAAGUAGUGACGCAGUAAAUUGGUGUUCAAUUUAUCACCCUAAAUAUACACUUCCUCCCCUGCUGGUGGCUCAGCUCCAGCCACAUGAUGUACGGCAAUACUUGCUAAGGGAUCUUCGACAGCACAUCCUGA
This is a long non-coding RNA of Pristis pectinata (smalltooth sawfish), 401 nucleotides long. RefSeq lists it as uncharacterized. Lineage: Eukaryota; Metazoa; Chordata; Chondrichthyes; Rhinopristiformes; Pristidae. The transcript is spliced from 3 exons. The record is from RefSeq and is a predicted model, not a curated record.